Molecule: non-coding RNA, 225 nt
Organism: Pelobates cultripes (western spadefoot toad)
Lineage: Eukaryota; Metazoa; Chordata; Amphibia; Anura; Pelobatidae
Source: the annotation of a GenBank genome assembly
ACCUGGAGUCUGCUGGGAUAUGGGGCUGUAGUAGGGUAUAGGAGCAGUGGUGCAAUGUGUGAGGGGUGCAAUGUGUGUGAAAGGUUCAGUGUGUGGGUGUGGGGGGCAGUGUGUGAAUGUGUAUGGUGUGUGUGUGUGGGGGCAGUGUGUGAAUGUGUAUGGUGUGUGUGUGUAGGGGCAGUGUGUGAAUGUGUAUGGUGUGUGUGGGGGCAGUGUGUGUAUGGG